AGACAUCUUGGGGUCACACACACACAUGUCCUUUCAGCGAUGGAGAUUUGGAACUAAUCUUCCUACAAGUGGACAAGCUCCAGAGAGUCAGCAUAAAGAACAACAGAGACCGGAGAGGAACCGAGGGGUCAUUCUACACCCACCAAAAGCCACUGGCAUCAUAAUACCAGGUGACUGAGAAGCCCGAGAAAGGUCACUGCGACCAUGGAUCAGAAAGGAGCCAUGAUGACAUGUAUACGAGCCGGAUAGCCCAGACCUUAUCAACAACCGGUGGAUGUAACUACAGGUUUUUUAUUCUGAGUGGGAGGUAAUCGCUGGAGCACACACCUAAACCGCAGCGAGGACUUCGGGGAGUCAGGUGCAAGCGGAUUUGUGUGGCUAGGAUGAAAACCUGCAGCCUUAACAGCCCUCUGUUGAUAAGACCCGUGAGCAGAAUUUUUAUACCUUGUUAGCAUUAGCUGCAUUAGCGUUAGCACUAACAGACAGAUAGGCUAUACCUCACAGCAUGAGUGAUGCCAGCCUUUCUCACCAAGAGAAAGAAAAGUGAGAAGAGAAAGACAGCGAUAGAGAGAGAGAGAGAGGCUGUGGAGGAGAAGGAGGGGGUCGAUGAGUAGUGGGGGUUGGGGCGCUGAAAAGCCUCGCUUUGU
Alosa sapidissima (American shad) is the source of this 647-nucleotide long non-coding RNA. RefSeq lists it as uncharacterized. The record is from RefSeq and is a predicted model, not a curated record. The transcript has 4 exons. NCBI's taxonomy places the organism in Eukaryota, Metazoa, Chordata, Actinopteri, Clupeiformes, Clupeidae.